This 1191-nucleotide long non-coding RNA is filed under the name Anser brachyrhynchus (Pink-footed goose). RNAcentral describes it as "lncRNA (ENSABRG00000016300.1)". The record is from RNAcentral. Lineage: Eukaryota; Metazoa; Chordata; Aves; Anseriformes; Anatidae.
CGCCGGUGGCUGGGGGGCGGCCGGGGGCGGCUCCGGCCGCCUCGGGACCCCGCCGCGGCGCCCCCCGGCUGUUAGCCGCCGGUCGCCCUGCGGAGCCGGGGGGAGAGCGGCAGAAAGCCCCGCGAGUGAAAAAAGCACCGAAAGGCGCCGGGUUCUCCUCAGAGCAGCCCGCUGUUUCGGGGGUUUCCCUUGCAAUCGGUGAAUGAGCCCGCGGCGGGGAGGGGCCCUGCCCGCGUCCCCCUCGGGCACAAAGGGCGAGGCCGGCAGCACGCCUCCGGCACCGGCACUGCCUGCGGGCCGGGGGCACGGCGGCUGCUCCUAAAGAAUAAAAAAGGUCGUUUAAUGAACGGCUUAUUUCGUGCUUUUGUUACAUCUCCAGAGCUCACCGCAGAGCUGCGUAACGUCGCACGCAGAAAUGCCUUUUAAAGCUCGUUACGGUCCCGAGCCAACCGUCUGCUCUUCGUGACUCAGGAGAGGAGGAUAUGCGGAGCGCAGGACAAACAAACAGCCGCUUCCAGUUUCCUUCUUGGGAAUGUUAAUUUGUUUUCCUUCUGGGCAGGCGGGAGCACAAAAUAAUGCCCUUCCGUGCUAGAGUCGUGUUACAUUUCUGGUGAUAUAAAUAAAUGGGCAAAUCGAGGUCCAGAUUUGCUCAGUCUGUGCCCAGACGAUUAAUUUUCCUUGUCUGAAGCAUCAUGAAGGCAGUGUUUACGCUGACUGUCACAAAGCACUUUUAAGAUAUUUCAGACACAAAAAGAGCCUUUCCAACUUGCCCUGCUGUAAUCUGCAAAUCCGUAACUCUCAUAGGAGGGACAGAAAGGGGCAGGGAGUGCAGGCCCCUUCUCUUCCAAGACAGAACCAUUCUGACGAAGUACACAUUAUUUAUUUUUACUUCCAAAGUUUAUACGUGGGGUUUGAUAUUGCCAAAUCCUUUCUGCGGGAUGUAAUCAGGCCAUUACGCUACAGUGUGUUUAAUAUGUUCUGACAUAACAUAAAAGUACAGCUAUGUAUGUCAUGUAUGUUGAAAGAGUGUACUAUAUGAUAAACUCAUCUCAGUUUUUGUUUAAUCCCAUUUCUUCAGUCAAAUUUGAAACAUUUGCUAAACAGAUUUUUGAAUCAUCAACUUGAAUUAGUAAAUUAAAAAGUUAUCAAUCAUCUUACUAUAGAGUAAAAUAAAAACUGAAAAUAAAUCCA